GACGAACGCUGGCGGCGUGCUUAACACAUGCAAGUCGAACGGAAAGGCCCUGCUUUUGUGGGGUGCUCGAGUGGCGAACGGGUGAGUAACACGUGAGUAACCUGCCCUUGACUUUGGGAUAACUUCAGGAAACUGGGGCUAAUACCGGAUAGGAGCUCCUGCUGCAUGGUGGGGGUUGGAAAGUUUCGGCGGUUGGGGAUGGACUCGCGGCUUAUCAGCUUGUUGGUGGGGUAGUGGCUUACCAAGGCUUUGACGGGUAGCCGGCCUGAGAGGGUGACCGGCGACAUUGGGACUGAGAUACGGCGCAGAAGCCUACGGGAGGCAGCAGUGGGGAAUAUUGCACAAUGGGCGGAAGCCUGAUGCAGCAACGCCGGGUGCGGGAUGACGGCCUUCGGGUUGUAAACCGCUUUCGCCUGUGACGAAGCGUGAGUGACGGUAAUGGGUAAAGAAGCACCGGCUAACUACGUG
Molecule: ribosomal RNA, 468 nt
Filed under: uncultured bacterium
Lineage: Bacteria
Description: partial 16S ribosomal RNA
Rfam family: Bacterial small subunit ribosomal RNA
Source: RNAcentral